CAAAAUAUCAUUGAAACUCUUUUAAAUGGAUUGGAAUAAUUCUAACUCUAUCCAUCAAGGAUCAUCGAUCAUCAAGAUAAUGCUCGAUAAGUCUCAUGAUCCACCAGUGACACCUAAUAGAAUAUAGUGUCAAUCCAGUAGAAUGAAAGUAAUGAAUCUCUAGAUGUAGUUACCAUGCGAUUUAGUUCUUCUAUCGUGAGUUCUGACAAGAUGAA
This 215-nucleotide long non-coding RNA is filed under the name Elaeis guineensis (African oil palm). RNAcentral describes it as "long non-coding RNA (EGUI_LNC054681)". Lineage: Eukaryota; Viridiplantae; Streptophyta; Magnoliopsida; Arecales; Arecaceae. The record is from RNAcentral.